RNAcentral lists this ribosomal RNA (253 nucleotides) under uncultured bacterium. Its description in RNAcentral is "partial 16S ribosomal RNA". It matches the Rfam family "Bacterial small subunit ribosomal RNA", at positions 524 to 776 of the family's 1533-position model. The record is from RNAcentral.
UACGGGGGGAGCAAGCGUUGUUCGGAUUUACUGGGCGUAAAGCGCGUGUAGGCGGUUCGGUAAGUCCGCUGUGAAAGUCGGGGGCUCAACCCUCGGAUGCCGGUGGAUACUGUCGGGCUUGAGUACGGAAGAGGCGAGUGGAAUUCCUGGUGUAGCGGUGAAAUGCGCAGAUAUCAGGAGGAACACCAAUGGCGAAGGCAGCUCGCUGGGACGGUACUGACGCUGAGACGCGAAAGCGUGGGGAGCAAACAGG